Panicum hallii is the source of this 500-nucleotide long non-coding RNA. RefSeq lists it as uncharacterized. The transcript has 3 exons. The record is from RefSeq and is a predicted model, not a curated record. Lineage: Eukaryota; Viridiplantae; Streptophyta; Magnoliopsida; Poales; Poaceae.
CCGAAGGCCCAGUAGCCGGUGAUGGCCGGGAAGUAGAACGUGAAGAAUAUCACCGCGUAGCACAGCACCAGCGCCUUCAUCAUCUUCCCGGCCGCCGGUGGCGCCAGCGUGGCCUGCUCACGUCGUUGGGCGUUACUAGAAUGCCGUUGCCGAAGACGGAAGCGAGGAUGGAGAUGGAAAGGAAUGCGUUGAAGGUCUUCUCUGACUUGGACGAGCUCAACGAGUAAUCCUUCGCUGGAGCGUUGCUCGACACACCUGUGAAGCACGGAAGUUACAAUGAUAAUUCAGCUUUCUGUCCAAACAACAUGAAAAUUCAUGCGCUUAGCCACUUGUCACUCUACAAGCACCUAAAGACGAAGCGGCUGAGACAAGGAUGGUGUAGCCGAAGCUGAGGAUCAGGGAGCCGAGGUUGAUGUGCCGCAGCGAGUGGAACGACGGCAGCUGCGAGAGGAAGGCCAGCACCACGGCGACGAUGAUGAUGAAAUGGUACAGCUUCAAGG